This 1133-nucleotide small RNA is filed under the name Arabidopsis thaliana (thale cress). Its description in RNAcentral is "ATSL080620". Lineage: Eukaryota; Viridiplantae; Streptophyta; Magnoliopsida; Brassicales; Brassicaceae. The record is from RNAcentral.
UUUUAACUUUUCAUAUUUAAAAAUAGGCAAAAUAUUAAUAAAUAAAAACUAAAGAACAAUUUUAAUUAUCAUGUUAGAAAGUUCACAUUUUUUAUAUUUUUGAAUGUUGUAGAAUUUUAACCCUUAUUCUUUUUCCUUUAUUUUUUUUGUAAAUAAUAUUAGUGUGAUAAAUGAUUUGAAAAAAUUGUCUGCUUUAGAGAAGGAGAAAUGGAUAAAUAAGUUUGUUAUUUAAAAUUGUCUAGACAAAAUUUUGUUCAGAACAAGUUAUUCUCUAGAAGAAAGAUUUUUGAUAUAAUGACAAUAUCAUAUCAUCACAAUCAUCUGUUAGCUAUUCAAGUACCUUGUGGACCCAAGGCGAGAUAGGCUCCCAAUCAAUCUUGCUCCUUUCUUCAAACAAAAGGGUCAACUGUUAUCGAGAUAGGCAAGAGAACGGAUAAACCAAGUUCAUAUAAAUCCAAUAUCAAUCAAACAAAUCUCUUAUUCACUUUUCCAUGAGGAUCCAGCUCAACCAAAUUAAUGCCUCCUUUACGUAGCUCAACCAAUCUUUGCGAAUUGGUUGUGGUCCUGCCAUUGACUGUGAAUAUUUUUUCCUUCGUGUAUUCAUCAAUAUAUACACCACCAAAUCAAAAAAGAUCUGGCACCAUGUCAUAAAUGUAACUCUUUAGAAAAUGUAUUAGCUAGAAUAACACAACUAAUCAUAGUAAGCAGCUUAUGAUACUUUUAAAAAAGAUCGGUAGACAAAUCAUUGAAUAAUCGGAGGAGUAUGAUUAUUUGCUACAUGGCUAAGUCCAAGUGUUCUCUCUCAACAUCCUCUAAAAUAAGAUCAACAAAAAAAUCAAUCGCUCUGAAAUUGAAAAUUUGAAAAUUUCAGUUGAGAAAAAGUAAAACAAACACAAAUUCAACUCAACUGGAUCAGAUUUAACUAUAUAUGACCAUGUCUAGCUCUUGCAGAUUUCUGAGCCGUUAGAAGUAAGUCUCGAUGAAGGAGUUCUCGAGACAAUAGGCUUUGAUUGAAUCGAUAAAGAAUUUUUGAUGUUUUGGAUUACCAGUUCCAUCUAUAUCUCUUUAGGCAUGUCAAAAUUCUUUUUACAAAUAACUCGGCGAAUGCGAUGAUAUAUAAAUAUUUUAGACAU